GGGGUUGUGGCUCAGUGGCAGAGUGCUUACCUAGCAUGUGUGAGGCACUGGGUUUGAUUCUCAGCACCACA
RNAcentral lists this transfer RNA (71 nucleotides) under Marmota monax (woodchuck). RNAcentral's name for it is "tRNA.Ala". The record is from RNAcentral. Lineage: Eukaryota; Metazoa; Chordata; Mammalia; Rodentia; Sciuridae.